This is a long non-coding RNA of Nannospalax galili (Upper Galilee mountains blind mole rat), 1290 nucleotides long. RefSeq lists it as uncharacterized. Lineage: Eukaryota; Metazoa; Chordata; Mammalia; Rodentia; Spalacidae. The transcript is spliced from 4 exons. The record is from RefSeq and is a predicted model, not a curated record.
UUUUGUACGCAGGGAUGGAACCUCUGGAACUUGAGGCCUGAAGCUUGAGGUAGGCAUCAUGGGCCGCGCUGGAAAGGAAGACCCUCAUGGCAGUUUGUGAACUCAGCCUGGAGCAUCUGAUGAGGAGAUUUCCAGUUGCUCUCUGCUUCCUGUACCUGCUUGAAGAUGUGAAGGCUUAGCUUCUGCUCCUGCUCUGGCCACCUCACCACGCCUCCCGGCAAUGACGGACUCUAAUCCCUCUGGAACCUGGAACUGGAGAUCCCUGGGGAAGAGACCAUCAGCUCUCCAAGCAGCCCCUCAUUCAGCCUGAUAAUGAAGGUGCUUUCACUGUGAAUUUGAAGCAGCCAAAGACCAAGAUGGGAGUAACUGCGGCCACCACGUCAUCGUAUGAGAAGCGUGGGUCUGAGGAGUGGGGGAGCGAAGCAAGGCUGUCUUCCAGAUCAUCUGCCCUCCUAGGGAUCUGAUUCAGCAAAGCAGCCUGCCAGCCAGUCCUUCUUCGGAGGGAGGACAUGAAAAGGGACUCUGUCCCUCCAUCCUGCAGUGUCCAGGUAUCACUUCCGUGGAGGAGGAAUGGUACACUGGCUUCCCCCCCCCCUCCAGGAUGCCUUUGCCUCAGACUACCUCGCCUGACUUCCUAGCUGUUCUGAGGUGAGAAGGAAGAGCUUAGCGGCCAGGCCUGGAGCACCUCUGACCUGCUGGGACCCACCACCAGGGAGCCGCCUCUGAAAUCAAUUUGGAAAUCUCUGCCUCCUAACACAAAUGGACUUGUCAGGGGAAUAGAAAGCUCUGCCAGGUUCCUAACCUGAAAAACUGGAUGAAUCUGCCAAAAGCGGUGAGCAGGCGGCUGUUCCCCUGGCCACAGAGACCCAGGAGGAUGGGGGACAGAGGAGACAGUGGGUGGAAGAGGAUGCAGAGCCGAAUCGGUCUAGCUUCAGUCCUGGGGAUGCCACUUGACAGGGAGAAACUGGCCAUGUGACCUAUGGUGUCUGAGCCUGUUUGCCUAACGCCAGUGGCGGUGUGGAGGGCGACUGCCAGCGUCCGCCAGGGCUUUCCUGGAGGUCAGGGACAUCUCCAGGCCCUGCGCAUUGACCCCUGCUCCCUAGUGGCUUGUUACGUCCAUGCAGGCACAGCACACAGGCACCUGGGGUCUCUGCUUUUCUUCAUACUGCAAGUAUUUGCCAUGUUGCUAGAGCUGCAUAAACAGCAGGCAGUGAUUACAAGCGGGUAGGGAUGUGGCUCAGCAGGUGGGUAGAGUGCUCGCCUAGCAUGUGCUGAAGCCCUGGGUUCAAU